UGAUUGCUCAAGAAAACUUGAGUAUACCUGAUAAAAGUUUGUUGAUUUGUAAUUUGGAGCUUAUUUGUUUAGAGAGUGUGUGUAGAUGAUCUUGUAAAUGCUUGAGUGUGAAUAGCAAAUGAGUCUGUUUACAGCAUUACAUGGGCAAAAGCGAAUAUACUAAAUAUAAAUGAUUUAAUAGUUUCUAUCUGGAUUUAGUACAUAGCAUACAAUAAAUAUCAAUGCAAAGUGAACUUGCUCACAAUGUGAAAGUAAAGUAAAUCAAUUUUUAUCAUUUUUAUUGAUUAAUUGCUAUAGUCUAGCAUUGUUUUUCUCGUGGGUAGGUCUAUUUUUGUUUUUACAACUUGACCAGGCGUUCUGGAGGAUUUUUCUGAUAUACAGAUUUUUUCCUUCCCGUAUCGAUCAUCUUGAAAAGGAUUUUGCAUGUUGUAUGGUGUUGCUUAGUAUGCUAAAAUUCAGAGUCCAAUACUGACUGGCAUCAUUGGAGGGGACUGUGCAUGCCCCGUGCGAGUUGCCUUUCUGAGUAGGGAACUGCCUAUAUCUUGACAUACCCCGAACAUGUUUACUUAAUACUGACAAAGUUUGAGCUGGUUGCUGCUUGGCUACAUUAUGACAUACUCUGGAGCAUGUUUAGCUAAUACUGACAAACCCCAAGCUGGUCAUGUCUUGCUAUGUUGUAUCACCUUUAAUGUUUAUUACCUUUAUUGCCUUAACCUUGUUUGUGCAACUGGAUUUUGCUCUUCCGCCUUUUAUUGUCUCUCUCUUCUAUUUUUAAAGCAUAUAUAGAUGUUGUUUAGCCUGCCUGUUCAUUUAUUUUCUUCUGCCCAAAUGAAGCAAUCAGCCGCUUAUCCAGGAAAUGUAUGUUGUGGUUGCAGGUACAUACAGAGCACCUGUGCAACCUCUGGUGAGGGGUUGUAUGAGGGGCUGGAUUGGCUCUCCAACAACAUUGCCAACAAGGUGCACAUCCAUUGCCUCUGUAAUUAUUUAUUAUUUGAAUUGUAUCACUUAACUCUUUAAUUAACUCACAUGGUAGGGCUGCUCGCACAGCCUUGUAUGUGGAGGCAUGUAUCUAUCGAGUGCUUUGAGUCUACCCUUGUAUGUUGGGCUCGCUUAUUAGGAUAAUGCUAUAAUUCACAUGUUUGCAUAAAAUUAGAUUUGUGGGCCCUGGUCUAGCAUAUCAGCAUUGUCCCUUUGAAGCCUCCCCAUCCACUCAUGUAUGUGGCAUGCAUUGGAAUGCAUGCAUUGUGAUGUGCACAAGAUUUACGUGUGGGCGCCCUGGAACCUUCUUAGGGUUGUGGAAAUUUCUACUUGGUAUUUUCUAAGUUGUGACGCAUUCUGACUGUCAUUUUUGUUUAUUUCCAGGCUUAAAAUUUUCAACGUUGCUGGGCAAAGCGUUUGAAAUAUAAAUCUGGGUUAUAUAUGCUUCUUGCAGUUGUGGUGGGUGUUUGGUGUAUGACAGUCUUUUAGCCAUCAGUUUGUUGGCCAAGGAUGAUUUACCCUCUAUUUUCUAGGUUUCUUUCAUUUUAUUGUACCUUUUGGGAACCUUUCUUUUUCCGUGAGCUUUGUAGUAUUUGACUUAUGCAGUCUGCAGAGUAGUGUUAUAUGUUCUCAUUACAUUUUCAGUGGUUAUCGUACAGGGCUGUGUUCUAUUUUGGGUUCUAGUAGUGGCUCUGCAUAGAUGUUGACCCUGCUAUUGUUUGCCUUAUCACAGUGGCUGCGCUGACAGAUGAUGUGCUCAUAUGCUGCGCCAAAAGAUCGUGUUAUGGGUCUGAUUCAUGUGUAGCCAAUCUGUGAACAAAUAUUUCCACGCCAUCUUAAAUUUCAGGGACUGGAUGUCUGCCCAACGAGUUGUGCAUCAGACCUGUUAAUAUUCUAGAUCAGCCAUGCCGGAUCCCUGAAACUCGGUUUACCUAGGUAAGGAAGAGGGUGACGGCGUGCAGCUCAAUCACCAUGAGUGUGAACAGUUUACGUCUAUAAAGCCAUGCACUGAAAACCUGCAUCUGUGCGCUCUGACAAAUGAUCAUGAUCAUUAAACUUUUUUAUUAAGAUGCAGAAUUGUUCUGGAUAAGAGUAACGACUUAUCCCGUCGGUUGCAUUCUUCCUCCAUAAGGAGAAGGUUCUAAGUUCAAAUCCUAAGCGCUGUUCCCCAGCUGUCUGACGUGGAUAGUUUUUUCAUCAUUUUUCAUGGUGUUCAUGAAAUGAUUGUUGGAGAUACUGGCUGUUCCCCAGCUGUCUGACGUGGAUAGUUUUUGCAUCUAUUUUCAUCAUUUUUCAUGGUGUUCAUGAAAUGAUUGUUGGAGAUACUGGCUGUUCCCCGGCUGUCUGACGUGGAUAGUUUUUGCAUCAUUUUCAUCAUUUUUCAUGGUGUCCAUGAAAUGAUUGUUGGAGAUACUGGCUGUUCCCCAGCUGUCUGAGGGGGAUGGUUUUUGCAUCAUUUUCAUCAUUUUUCAUGGUGUCCAUGAAAUGAUGAAAUGAUUGUUAGAGAUACCGCCACCGUUGUUCUCAUUUUUUUUUUAAAAUAAUAUCAUAUAUUUCAAAUAUUAUAGGUUUUAAGGGAUAAUGGUAAGAAGUUGCAAAAAUGCAACAUAUCCUAUUUAGCAAUUGUAAUGUGAUUGUUUCUUGGAAUUAUAUUUGACCAUUCAUUUGACAUAAUUAUCGUUGCUGGUGCUAUAAAAGCUUUGGAUGAGGCCGUGGCAAUAAUCAAGCUUUCAAGUCAUAUAUGAGUUACUGAAAUAUAUACUUAUUUUAUAUAACAACUAAUAUGAGAAAAUCUGAAAAAGCUUGUAGAAAAUGAACAGAUUUUGAAGAAAAUCAAGGCACUGCUUGAAGCAUCAGUGUUGUUUGGGUAUUUAUAAUGAAGAACAAAAUUUCUAUCAAUUAGAUUGUGAUAGAAGUCAAAAAGGAAAAUACGGUGGAUUACGUGAGUUAAAUAGAUAACUUUAGCUCCAUGCAGUCUUGGCUUGCGAAACCAACCUAGCAAUUAUUCAAUAAUUUCUCUCUCCACCUCUAAUCUAUCAGCUUCCUUGUACCGAAAAAAAUCAAUCAGCUUGCAGAAUAGCAUUAAUGGAACUCCCCUUAAGAUGGAUGUGAUCCUUGAACAUGCCUACGAGGGUAAAAUUUUUUUGGUGGAAGCGGCUAUGGAACAGACUUCCAUGAAAAGAUCUACCUCACUAAGGGGAAUUAUCGAGGGCGGAAACAAUUGCUGUGAUUUAUGCCAUGAUGUGGUUGAGGCCAGCAAUCAUGUGCUGAGUGAGUGCACGUUUGCUUCGAGUUGUUGGCACCAGCCGAGAAGAACCUUGGCAAUCAGUUUUGUACCAACUUCUCUACCGGGUCUGGUAGAUGUUAUGUCUGCUGCCGGGGUCGAGGGGGAAUGUAAAUCCUUAAUGGUUUUAAUGGCUUAGACUGAUUUGGACAGCUCGAAAUGAAAGGAUUUUUCAAAAUGUCACACAGUCCCCUGCUCAUUUAGUGACUAAAGCCUUCAGCUAUCGUAUUCCAAAUGGGAAUGCAAAUGACCACACCAGUGAGUGUUCGUCCGGAACUGGGGAAGCAGUAUUCUGCUAAAUAAAGGCAGAAAUCCAUCUUCCCUUGUUACAUGGCUACCUCCUACCCCUGAAACCUUAAAGGUGAACUUUGAUGCUGCUGCAACAUCAGAUAAAGCGCUGCUGGAUUUAUCAUUAGACAUAGGGAAGGCCAAUUAAUUAGAGCUGGUGGAAAGAUGCUGCCGCCCUCUGCGAUCCCCUAUGCUGAACUUGUUGCAGCAUGGGUGGGAUUGCGAACGACGUGUUAUCGAUUUAAAUGCAUCAAAUAUAUGGCUGGAGGGCGACUUCAUAAAGGUGAUAUCAUGGCUUGCUAACUCUUCCUUGGGCAGGUCCUUGCAGAUGCCACUACCUAAAGAUAUUUUACACUGGAAAGCAAACUGGAACAGAUUCAAAUCAUCACACGCAUUUCAGGAGGCAAACAGGGCGGCGACUUCAUUGCAAAAUUGGCUCUACAAGGGGACUGCAGCUGGGGAAGUGGAGAUCCUAUUCACCGAGAUUUACUGUUUAUUUUGCAGGAUGACGAGGUUGGCAUAGGCUACCGGAGAUCAUAGCCGAUAGCAAGAGGAGAAAGGAUCAAUACUUGCUGCUGCAUAGCUCGUUUACUGUAGUAGACGGGACGAUACAAGGAAUUCGUUACAAGAUAGGUUUGCUCAAUGGAUGGUGACUCGCUAAACACUGUAUGAAGAAGCGGUAACAGGUCCAUAGAAGCUUCUUCGUCCAACGCAGGAACCAUUAUACCUGUAGACUGUUACAUUUUGCUAGCAGAUCUGAUUUAAUCUGUAACUAAGACAGUGGGGUGUCGAUUAGCAGUGAAUGGAUUGUAAAUUAUAAACAUGGGUUGUAAGAGUGUAUGGACUGAGUUGUAUGUUUCUAUUACUAAUGCAAGCGUCAGCUCCUUCCGUCACCAAAACACACACACACACACACACACACACACAUGGUGGUUGUUUUUAUUGCUACACUUAAGAAAGAGAAAGUCCUUUUUAGCAUGAUAUUUUAAUAUCUUAUCAAUAACAAAGAGGAAAAUAAACAAUGAAAUCUCUGUGCUCAUGGGCCGCGCAUCUCUUAAUUACUCAGGGAUGUUUCUCUUUGGGCCCGGAAAUGUGCUCUUUUGAAGCCCUUGAUUCUCUUCCAACCUUGAACUCCAAAUGGUUUAUUCUAAUCUAAAUCAUCUGAACUGGUCACUAAUAUAGACAAACAUACAAAACCUCAUUUGUCCAUGUUUCUAAACUGGUCACUAAGUCAUCAGCACUCCUCAUUUGUCCUUUCCCCCUUCCUUCCAAGGCAAAGGCCAGUCCCAAUACUCUAGAAUAUAGACAAACAUACAAAACCACUACAAAACAGUCGAGGUCCUUGGGGAGAAACUCAGUAAUCAAUUACCGGAAGGCAGUCAGAUCAUUCUUGGAUUAGCUUCUCGUUUGAUACUCCUCUUUCACGCAAUAAGCUCUCCUGGUUGAUUCUUUUUUGCUUAUUGACACCAUCCAAUUAAUUUUAUCAUACUUCAAAAUCUCAGAUAAUCUUGUAAGCAGAACCACUGAUUGAUCGUACAGAUAGGCAAUGCUAAACACCCACUGAAAGAUUUAUUCCAAAAAUGGGCAAAAAUGUAAAAGAUGGUAACACUAAUUUUUUCAUGAUAGAAACCCGGAACAUAAAGCAAGCCUAUUUGAACGAUUAUCUUCAGCUUCAAGAGACGCGCUUCAAUUCUUCCUGUUCCUAAGUCAGAUAAAUCCCAAAUACAGAUCACCAUACACAGAAAGAAACGACCAAAUCCAAAAAGAAAAAUGUCUAGUCGCAGUCAACAAUUAGAUAUAAUUUAUAUACCCUUUUCCUCUCACAUAGAAGGUACUAGUUUCAUGUAUUGGUUGGCUGUAACCAGUAGAUUCUUUUGGAGCCCCCACUCCAGUUGCUAAUGACCAAAACAGAACUCAAACCUGGAGCUGUACAACUUGAAAGAGUAUAUACCAGUGCACCUUCUAAUAUUUAGCCAUAAAACUACAAACUUAUCCCACCAUGCAAACAAGAAUGUUCUUUAAAAAAAUCAACAUAAGAGCCUCUAUGAAAAACCACGGUUCCAACUUCCAAGUCAUUCAAAGACCAACCAACUAUUAAAGAGAUAAUUCAAUCUAAGUUACAUACAAACUAGAGAUUGGAAAGAAAAUCCAACUAGAGAAACACUCUGCAUGCUUGGAUAGAUCACAUGCACUGAUAUUAGUUUAACAGACGACAAUGUUUCCUUUCUGUUUCUAAAUCUACCCAUUGUUAAUGUAGACUCAUGUACACUGGAUAUCUGAAUUAUACUUAAUUUUACAAGCUUACAAUAAUCAACACAAUGACUAUUGACAUAAUAUUGAGAGGUUGCAGGUGCUUCGAGCACAAAAUGUGCAUGCAAAUAUUGGGCAGCCUUAUUUCUCGAAUCUAAUAUUCUUAGUCUACUUUAUGCAGUGAGCAAUGAGUGUACCUGCUCCUCGCCUCAAUAUGAAUGCUGUCAUGAAGACAACAAAAAAUGCUGUGAAACCAGUAAGACCAUGUGCUUCAAGUCAACAACAUUACUUUCACCAAUUGCUGCCUUCUGGUGAUCAAAAAAGAUUCAUCAUCUGAAGAAAAAUUAAUUGACAGAAUGUUAUGUCUAUCCAGAGGUAGACGUAGCAGAAACCCAAGCACCCACGAGUCCAGUAGUCUUAAUCCUGCAAAUGAACCAAGUGUCAAUAUAUAUGAUUGUAUAUGAUCCAUUUUUCCUGACAAUAAUAUAAAGCUGGAGGGUUAAAAAAGAAACACAUCUCAUCGAUGAUGCCCAAAUAAAAACAUAGGAAGAUGAAAAUUCUACCCAGUAGAAACUCAUCUUUAAACAAUACAAACUACUUCAGAUGAAUUUUUGGAAUAGGUUAAUGGGGUCAGGCUUUACUAGAAGACGGGUGACAAAAAAGAAUGCAAAGCAUGCCAUCACAUUCAUGCAUAUUCAUCAUGUUAAUCUGAACCACAAGCUAUCACAUGUGAUGAAAACAUGAAAUUUUAAACCACAAUGAAAGGAUCCACAAAAUCUGUAUGGUCCUCCAAAUAGGAAAUAUGAUUUUUGUCUCCUUUUAAUAAAUUGAUCUCUAUUGUCUGCAGAGAAAAGUAACCACUCCCAAUGGAUGUUGACGAAACAGGAGGCAACAAAAGAUGCAGUCCUCGAAUGUAUAACUUGUAGCUUUUAUAAAGAUGGGGUGCCCAAACUUUAGUAUACAAGUCAAGCACAAGAAACCUCAUAGCAAAAUUAAGAUGGUAUCUGAAUUCACCAUAACCGUACUUACGAAUAUAUAUCACUUGGAUCUAUUUCUUUGAAUAAAUUAAUGUAAAAGCGGAAGCCAUCAGGGCUAACAUCUCUGCAUAAAAGACCUAAAAAAAUAUUGAUGUUAGCUAAAGCCUCGAUAAUUUUGAGGAAAUAAGAAUCUUUUGGGAAAUAUAGGCAAUUCAACUAUGCAUACCUUUGCUUUCAGCAGUUAGCAUGUGUUCCUUGGCCAGAGCUGGUGCAAUUCCUAAUGUCAAUGCAGCAUCGCUGGGGCUUAUUCCCAUCAGGAGGGCAUCUGGCUUCUGUGCAAGGGAUGUGAUUCUUGCAAAAACCUAUAUCAGAUAAAACUUAUAACCAUGAACCAUGAACCUGCGAGCCAAGAGUAGGAAAGGCAAAGAUACAGGAGAAGAAAAAAAUAAACAGACAAAUAUAUGAUAACAAUAUCUACUCAAGUAUGUACAUUCUAAAAAAAAUGAGUUAAAGAUAUGCUGGUUUCCCAAUUAUUUUCAAAUUUGAUGUUUCUCAUGCCACUUUGUCUCUUUAUCAGUAUAUAUAUAUAUGUGUGUGUGUGUGUGUGUUUAGAUAUAUAUGUAUAUAUAUGCAUGUAUAUGCAUCUAUGUAUAUAUAUGCAUCUAUGUAUGUGUGUGUGUGUGUAUUAUGUAUGUAUGUAUGUAUGUAUGUAUGUAUAUAAUCUGUUGGAAGUGUAUUUACACACCAAAAGAUUAAAAAUCAUUAGAUCAGCAUGGUCCAUCAAAUCUACCAUUUGAUUGGCAUAUACAUGGUAUCUCGCCACAUCAAGGAAAAGCUUUUCUCCUCACUGGAUAAGUUGUGCCAUGAUGCACAGUAAGUGAUGCAGCAAUGGAUCAUUGAGUCAUCUAGCAUGUGAGUAGGUUGAGGAUGGUGAUGUUACAAGAGGGGAAAUGUUAAAAUUGUUUAAGUAAUUAUAUUGCACUUAGAAAUGGCAGUUUUGUAAUUUCCUCAUCUCUUCCUAGAGCCCAAACAGGAGUGAACUUUUGCCCAACAACCAGCUGGUAUUUGAAACUGUGGAUUUUCUCUAAUUUUGAGCAUAAAUGAUUAGCACUAGAGAAGGAAAAAACAAAUUAACUCGAUUAGAGUCUAAAUCUGAUAUGGUCGAUUGGUUUCUCAUUGGAUCGAAUAAAAAAGCACGGUUCUAGAGAGGUAAAAUGCUACCCAACGAACCAGUAGCAGCCAAAAUGCCUUCUCUUGUGCUAGACCUUGAAGGAAAUCUUGCCUGGCCUCUUCUAGACUUCGGAUUGAUAUGAAAAUUUCUCGGGAUAAGCCCAUUAAAAUUCGUAUAUGAGCAACAUGGUCAACAGCUAGCAUCCAUCUGGGAUCCCAUUGCCUCUGUCCUCCUCUAUAUAAAGUGCUAGAGGCUGGGCUAGAGAGGCAGUGAUCCAAUCCAAGGUUCCGAUGCCAAAUGGACACUCUGUGCUGAGGUUGUUAAGGGUCACAAACAGCUUAACAAGAGAAGAAGACAAGGUUCUGCCAAGAGAAACCACUCAAGAAGGAAGCUGUGCACUCCCUGUUUUCGCAACUUAGCGAGGAUGAGUUCAAGGAGAAAACAGAUCUGGGAGAUUCUACUCUCUUGUGAGUUCAAGAACAGAAGAAGAAGAGGGGGGGAGGGGGGUUGUUUCCUUUUAUUCACACUAUACAUUUGCUUCUUCCAAUUCUUUAUGUUAUUUCCCGCCCAAUCAUCUGCACCUUUUUUUAAAUCUAAUAUACAAUACACUAUUCAGCUUUUCACCAACAACAUUUUAGCUACACACAAAGAAAAUCAUCCUAAAUGUUAGCUCUGUUCACUUGGAUAUACGAUGCUAAAUAAUUAAUGUCAUCAGAUGCUAUAUCCACAUUGGCUGAACAUAUGAACAAAUCUAUGAAGCUAAUUGCUUGUUGGAGUUAUCAUAGAUAUAGCCAGGAGUAAUGACUGUUUUAGAUCCUGUCGUUUACUUCUUGAUAGGCCCAUACAACUGAUCAUUUUGUUGUUAUUCCAUGCAAGUCUAUGAGGGCCAUUGCUUGGUUAAAUGGUAAAAGGCCUGGGCAUACAAGUGCAACAGCACAGGUUCGAGUCCUAGGUUUGUCCCUAGUUUGCCCCUCCCAGGACCCCAGAUAGCUAUGGGCCUGAGAUCUUUAUUGGGUAAUGGCCUUUUUCUUUUUUUUCCCCCAUGCAAAGUCCAUGGUCUCAUGUGCUUUCCUUGGACCCAAGAUAAUGAAUUUGCAUUGCUUGUUGCCAUCCGAUGUGCAGUUCAUGAAGAUGGCAUGAUUGAGUUGUAAUAACAUACCAAUAAGCUAUAACCCAUGUUUGACAAGGUCCCACCAUAUAUCAAGCAUAUUGAGCUCUCAAAGCAAUAGUUGUUGUCAUCCUAGACCCUAUCAAUUAGGGUUUGCAGGUUUAGCUCUUGCUCUACUAUCUAUUUAGAUUGUGUCGUUGCAGAGUUGACAUAUGUAGAACCACACAUGUCCAUUUUCACAAUAUCUUUUGUUUAUCAAUUACUUUUGAUUUUAUUAUGUGCAGUACAUCACAUGUAUUCUAUCAUAUUUUAUCUACCAUAGUUGCUUGCAUAAUAAUAAUUUGUUAAGGGAUUCUUGAUCACUUAGUUGUAGCUGUUCUUAGAAAGAGAAUGUAAGUAACUGAGAUUUCUUUAGAAGCCUCAAGAAACAGGUCACCCACACUACAUAUUCAAGUGAUCAAAACAGGUUCAGAUAUCAGAAACAAGUGACUAUCAAGUUCAGGCCAUAAUUAUUAAGACAAUAAGUACAGAAACAAUUUAUUGAUCAGAAAAUAACCAGCAUUAAGUUAUGCAAAUGAUACAUGGGACACGAAAGUGGAAUAUUUGUACUGUAAUCAAAACAUGACAAAAUAUGGAAGAGGCAAAUAUGAAAUACCUCGUCAUCACUGUGGGCCUUAUUCUGAAUAACCAUUACGCCACUAUCAAAUUUCCUAAGCAUUACUGGGCUGUUAAUUAGAAAUUAAUAGCUAUAAGCACAGGCUGAAAAUGAAAAAAAAUAAAGGAUACUUCAGGGAAUCUAUCACAGUAUAGUAGCGGGUGGUAAAACCGUUGGAUUUGACAAUUUUGAUUGUUUUGUAUAGCUUGCUUAGUAUGAUGUCAUUGAAUCAACAGCAGUUUCGGAACCUGAAAAAGAUUGAAGGUUCUGUCGUGCAUACACAUCAAAUUUUUCCCAAAGUGCACAGGCUUGUAAAAGGUCCUCUGGCGAAAUCAGUUCUAGAAAGAAGAGCACAAUAAUUAACUUUGGGAAACUACAGAACUAUAAGAAAGGAACAAGCCAAAAUCACAAAUACCUGUUCCUCUUGCACGAUUAAACAGACAGUAAACAUCUAUCAAUGCAAUCAUCCCUCCAGCCUUUUCAAGUGGUAAUUUGACAAAAUCUGCUAGCUGACAGAAAAUUAAACAGAACUGUUUCACGAAAAAUGAUCUGGCUUCUUAUUACAAGUGCUUUCUACCCAAGAAGAAAGGAGCAGCUGAUAACUGAAUGAUUACAGCAGGAAACAUAAGCAUUUUGUGCUUGAAUUUCCAAUUGUCUGUCUACCAAAUUCCUUCGUGCUGGCAAGUCAUUCACAUAGGAAUGGAUGUUUAUCCAUGUCCAACUCAAGGAUUUCGUAUUCUAUUCCAGCACGUGUAAGAGAGAAAUUGAGCAUUUAUCGAUCAGACUCAAACCACGCAUAUCCUGAAUUUUUGUUAGCAAGAAUAGCUAGGUAUAUAUCUCACGCUAGGUUUAGUAUUCAAGUAUCUCUAAGAAUCAAAAUAAUCAUAUAUUCGCAAGAACAGAUGAGCCAUUGUGCCAGCUUGAUAGAUUAGAAUUGGCAUAAUCAUUUGACACCAUACUUAUGUUCUUCAUCUACUAACUGCCACCUUAAGGCAAUCUUGAAUCUUAACAAUAUGUUCAUCAUUCUCAGAUUAAAGGCCUUGAACUGGAAUUUAGGAGGAAGAAAUACUCUGAACAGCCAAAAUUUAAAAUUUAAUUAUUACUAUCAGUUAGAUAGGUACUGGAUAAGGCGGUUAAUCAUUUGCAUUGUUUCAGCACAGUGCAAACUCUCAGCUACAUAGCUUUCAAGUGGCAUUUGCUAUGAAGGAUUCAACAUACCAACUUUAGACUUUCAUUUCAAGAAAUGCACUAAAGGAACAAAUUUUCUUAGUUGGAUUUGUUGGAUAAUGAUUCUUAGAAGUCAACCUGAAUAAAGUCAAAAUAACAAACUAAUAAAGUAGCUUAUAUUGGAACACCAUAUGAUAACAUGACUGGAAAUGUCAGUGUGAGUUAGAAUAUAAGCCUCUUCAGUUCUAUUAACAAGUAAUGUUUAUCUGCAAACAUCUGAAAAUGUCAUAUCCAAGGUUUCAAAAACCUAUAACGGAGGUGGUAUCGGAUUUUUGCUAGACCAGCAAGGAAGCAAUUUGUCCUGUGCCAACACAAGAUACAGGGCAGCAUCCUGGUCUCAUACCGGGACCCCCAAAGUCCCUCCUUUUUCUAAAUUAUUACUUCUUUUAAAUACUUUAAAUAAAAUAUUUGUUUCUUUUGAAGGUAUCUCCUCUCUUGCUGUCAUGGUUAAAACGAAGACCCAUGCACACAAGUGCAUGGAUUUGAAUCCCAUGUGCAACAUUAGUUUUACCAGCCCUUAAAAAAUAAAUAUUGUAUAUUUUUAUCCUCACUAAAUAUACAUAUAUUUUCUGCACAGAAAAACAAAUAUUAUAUAUUUAUCUCCUUACAAUAUAUAUAGAUAUGUAUAUUUUCCACACAGAAAAUAUUAUAUAUCCCUAAAUUAACAUUUAUAUUGGUAUUUUUGUUCAAGAUAUUAAUACAUUCAUGUUAGCCCACAAAAGUAAUUUUAAUGAUAUGCCUUUUCCAAACUAUUAUGUAUACUUUUCUGAAAUUAGUACAUUCAUGAAAUUGUUGCAAAAUAUACAGGAAUUAGAAAUGAUGAUAAAAAUAAUCUUAAUGAUUCAUCCAGAUAGUAAAGUAAUGAUUUUGCUGACAAAAAUAACUCAUCUAGACAGAAAAAAAAAUCAUUAUAAUUUUACUGAUGGCAUACCAAAAACUAUUGGGCAAAAUACUUCUUCCAAUGGCACAAAAAUAUGAAAACAUGCAAAAAAUUUAAAUACGAUCAGACAGAAAAUAAUAAUUUUAUUGAAAAAUUAAUAUAUCAGGAUAAUAGAAAAUAUUUAUUAUAAUUUUAAUGAUGACAUCUGAAAGGAACUCUCCUUUACUCCUCUAGCCCCGUGCAAGCAUGUUACUUAAAAUUUAAACCUAUAUAUUUUCAUAGCAAACAUAAACCUCCAACCCUUGGGCUAAAUGUCCAAUACUAUAAUAGUUUGGUACUUUUUAUGUAACUUUAUUCUUUUACUGAUUUAUACUUUUUUUUUAAAAAAAAGGAACACUCUUUUACUCCUCUAACCUCAUGCCUUAGCCCCUUUUACUCCUCUGCUCCUCCAUUCACCGCCUUAUGCUCCCCCUAUCUGCUUCCAUCCACUGUUCCCGUCUAAGGAGUCGUCGCCCUUCACCAUUGUCUUUGACAUCAUUGUAAUUGUCCUCUCAACGCCAACAUCAUGAAUGAGGUCUACCUGCUUCUUCUUCUCUCUCUCCCUCUCCCUCUCUCUCCCCCACAAUUUUUUUAUAUAUUAAGCCCCAUCAUGCCACCCUUCGAAUUGGUUGAGCCAAUCCCGGUACCCGCUAAUACCAACUUGUUUCAACAAAGUCACACAACCCAAGCAUUGUACGCAGCAAAACGGGCUUUGCAUCAGCAGCCAAGAUGCCCUAUUUUUCAGAUUUCAGCGAUCCGGGGGCAUCCCAAUGCCAGAGUCAUGCCAGAAUGGUAUAGUACCAGUUCUACCUCCCAUUCCGAUUGUAUUUAAGUCCUUGGUCUCAUCCAAGCUAUAACAAAUGAAUGGAACUAAAACAAAGCUCUAAGUGUGCAUGUAGGUACCUGACGAGAUAAUUGUUGAUGAUAUAGAGCACCUGCAGACUCUUUUGUAACUAGUGACACAAUACCAACACUUAGUAGCCAAUCCUGUAUCUCUUGCUUAGAACCCAACUCGUCAUCAUUUGCACUUGCUUGAGCAUUUGAACCUAAUAAUAGCUUUUGCCUCAUGUUCUCUGCCAGCUGCACCAUCUCCUUAGCUUUACUCUGCACAAGUCCCUCGCCUUAGUCCUUCUAGAGGAUGUUGGAAUAGCAAAAAAAAACCCAUGAAAGAGCACAUAAAAAGCUAUAGCAAACAAAACAACCAUUAAAAGAGUACAAUGGAAGCUUCUAUUGAACUAGAAUUUGUCUGGAGAACCUACAGAACAAUUAAGAACUACCAUUUUGACCCAAAUGGGCUCAAACAUUGGUAAUGCUUGUUGAGUGCUGGCACUCAAGUCUCAGGAGGAGAUGCUGCUAUAACUGUUAUUGAAAAGUUCUAUAUAUUCUUAUAAUUCACUAGAAAAAGAAGACAAAUCAAACUUGAUUAACUCUUGUACAAAUAUAUGCAACAGUUGUUUUUAGUCAUCACAUGAUACAUGGUUACAUGAACAACCAUGUGAAAAAUAUCCAAAUGUUCAGUUUUUAUGUCCAAUAAACUACAACUACAUACAAGUUGACAGUCAUGUAUGCACCUAAAUUCCACAGCCCACAAAAAAGUAUUGCAACAUGCUAUUUAUAAUACUGCCCAUAAUUAAUAAUAGUAGUUUAGCUAACUAUGAUGACAAAGACAGCACAUGCCCAAAAAAGUGUUAUGGAAUUGAUUCUUUCAAAAUUAAGAAAAGAAAAAGAUAACAAAAAAAGAAAUGACAUGAGACUAAAAACAAUAAAUGAUGUUACUGUUUGGCAGGAAUAUGAAAGUGUAUACCUCUAAAGGCAGUCUCAAACAUAAUAACAAAUUGUUGCCCUAUCACAUUUUUGAAGGUGUAUUGCAUUGAAAAGGUUAUUGCUUCUCCUUUGGACUUAUGUCAAAGAUUCCAAAGAAAUGUUAUCAGAGGCGAAAUAGUGCAAUUUUAUUAAAAAAUUAUAUGACUCACUCAUCUGUUCCAUUAAGCAUGUGUGAGGCAGUCAAAUCAUGUAGAGACAAAGGUUAGCAUCUAAAUGCAUAGGAGAAGAGAAAAGGCAGACCACAAAUGAGUGUCUGUAAAAAGUUUGUCAGUUUUCAAGAUCGUGAUUCACGCCCGUCUGUAUCACAUGGGGGGAGAAAAAGAAAAAGAGGAAGGAGGAGGAGGAGGAGGAGAAGGUGAAGUUAAACUGUAAAGAGGUUGAAUUUUGCAUGUUUCAUCUGUUUUUACUGUCAGAAGAAGUUUAACUGGAGUUCUAGCAGCCAUAAUACGUUGUCAUAAAUUCGCACGCGAUGUAUUAAAGACAGUAAGCAAAAUCACAUGAGGAUCUGGAACUAGAGAAGAAAUUUAAAAUGUGCAUUAAAGGUGGGAGGAAUAAUCUGGGAUUCAAGAGUCUUAAGACAUGUAUCCUUAAUUAAAAUGAUAAGGAGGGCCCAAAAUCAUAUGUUCUAACUUAUUAUGUCCUGGAAAUAGCUGCCUCAAAUAUAUCAAAAAUGUAUUUCAACUUCAAUCAAACAUAACAAAGCAACGUACAUCAUUUCAGAACGUACCAGUGGAAAGGAACGUAUAAUCCAAUGAAAGCAGAAUACGGAAACAAUUUAUUGCAGCUUUGCAUCAUACGUCAUUCAUAUAAACGAAUAGCUAUUACAUAAGCUUCUGGAUAUAGAGUAAAAGAUCGCAGCUUUGUACAUUCAAACUAGUAAGAUUACAGAAUUCGGUAUUCCAGUGGCUAUGAGCUCUAACUUCAAACCAAAAAAAAAGGAAGAAGAAGAAGAAUGGAAGUCAAUUACGAACCAUGAGAGCGUUCAGGUCGUGGAAGGCCUCCUGCAAGCUCUUGUCCGUGCUCUCCCACAUCUCCUGCUCUUUCCUGAGAAUCCCCGAAACCCCCACCACCGGCAUCCUCACCCUCGCCGAACCCUCCCCCGAUCCCGAUCCCCUCUCCCUCCCCUCCGAUUCCUCCGACGCCUCCCACGUCCUCGACCUCAGGACCUCCAGCAGCCUCCCGUAGAACACGUCGGGGUCGGUCUUUCCCCUCAUCACGAUCGUGACCAUCUCCGACCGCGUCCCCUUCUCCCCAACCCUACCGUCCGGCGACGUUGACACCUGGAUCCGGACCCUAGGGCUCGCGAACAUGUUCCGCAGCGACUUCUUAGGGUGAAAGACGUGGACCACGGCGGCGAGGGGGAUGGCGCAACCCGAGGAGGAGGAUUCGUCGAUCCACAGGAUCCGGUGGGAAGUGAGGACGAGGAGGCCGGAUCGGAGGGUGGGCAGGGCAGGAUUCUCCUCGGCCUCGAGGUCGACAGCAGACAGGAGGCAGCGCUCGAUCUCGCCGGGAAGGAAGACCGGUCGUCCGGAGGCAGUGAGGAGGACCGGCGGGAGCCAGUUCGCAGCCAUCGUCUGUGUGAGGAGAUUCGCCGGAGGCCAGGGAGAGAAGGGUUUGGAUUCGACGAGAGGAGAAAACAGAAGCGGCGAACUGAUCAGCUUGGAAUUGGAUUGCCUGUUUCACGACAUGGUUAAAUUGAGAUCUAAAUUUUUGACCCGCUUAAUAAAAUAGGUUCAGAUUGGCAGAUUUUUAAUUUAUUUGUACCCAAACCGAUCAAUGUCUGAUCCUCCCCGACUUGGGUGCCACCCCGAGCAGUCCUGCCAGUUUCCGGCACUCUACGUCUAAAUUUUUAUAAAAGCUCUACUUUAAAAAAUUCUAUUUUCAAUGACACUAUUUUCAAAAAUUUUACUGUCAAGUAUUUUUUUUUUUUUCAAACAUAGCCUAAAUAUUGAAAAUGUGAAAAGCACCCAAGACAUGAAUAUUUACUACCAUAACUUUGUCAUAUAAUUAAUAUAGUUAUUUUAAUUAUUUAUUUUUUCAAAUAUAUAUAAUAAAUUUGAAAUUUCAAUGUAGUAUUACAUAGGGGCACCAUAUUGGUAUAGUAUUAUUGUGCUCGAUAUGAGUCAAUUUAGCAUACCUACACUCGGUAUGCAUCCUGCACCGAAUAUCAAUUCAAUAUUAUUAUGGUGCAAUGCACAAAUAAACCUUGAGUAUAUAUAUUAUGUAAUUAGUAUUAAGGGGAUCUUGGGAUGGACCUGGAGAAUUUGUUGUUUCGUUAGUUUGUAGUGUGGUGUUUAAAAUAUAAAUAAUAAAAAUAUAUUUUAGUAUAUAUAAGAAUAAAUAUUUUUCUUUGAUACUAGUUUUAAAGAAGUAUACCAGCUUCUAUGAAUUUUUCACUAAUUAUUUAUCUUUUGUGGUAGAUUUGAGCUUGAUAAUUCUAUCAACAUCUACUAUUUGUCCAUAACAUGCCUUAUAAAAUAUUGGGCACGUGCAAGCCACCUAAGGUAUGAACAUAUACUAUGAUGACUUGCUCGUACAAUUAAUAUAGUUAUUUUGAUUAUUUUAUUUUUAGUCAAAAUAUAUAUAUAAUAAGUUUGAAAUCUAGAUAUCAAAUUAUAUAUUGGUACAGAAUUAUUAUGCUCAAUGUGAGUCAAUAUGGUAUACCAACACUUGAUAUAUCCCUUUACCGAAUAUCAACUCAACAUUGUUAUGGUACAGUAUACAAGCAAACCUUUAUAUAUAUAUAUAUAUAUAUAUAUANNNNNNNNNNNNNNNNNNNNNNNNNNNNNNNNNNNNNNNNNNNNNNNNNNNNNNNNNNNNNNNNNNNNNNNNNNNNNNNNNNNNNNNNNNNNNNNNNNNNNNNNNNNNNNNNNNNNNNNNNNNNNNNNNNNNNNNNNNNNNNNNNNNNNNNNNNNNNNNNNNNNNNNNNNNNNNNNNNNNNNNNNNNNNNNNNNNNNNNNNNNNNNNNNNNNNNNNNNNNNNNNNNNNNNNNNNNNNNNNNNNNNNNNNNNNNNNNNNNNNNNNNNNNNNNNNNNNNNNNNNNNNNNNNNNNNNNNNNNNNNNNNNNNNNNNNNNNNNNNNNNNNNNNNNNNNNNNNNNNNNNNNNNNAUAUAUAUAUAUAUAUAUAUAUAGUAUUGAGUGGACCUUUGGAUGGACUUGGAGAGUUUGUAGUUUCAUUGAUUUGUCAUGUACUAUUUGAAAUAUAUACAAAAAAAUAUUUUAGUAUUUGAGAGAAUAAAUGUUUUUCUUUAGCACUUUUAAAGAAUUAUAUCCAGCUUCCAUGAUUUUUUCACUAAUUAUUUGUCUUUUUUGAUAGAUUUGAGCUUGAUAACUCUAACAAAGUCCACUAUUUGUCUAUACCGCUUAAACAUUUUUUAUGAAUAAAUUGAUAAAUAAAUAUAUGGUUACAUUGUUCAGAAACUUGAUAUAAUUAUGUCUAAAUUGUUCCUAUCAGCUAAACAUGUGUUAGUGUUUCAUGAAAACUAAAAGUUUUUGCUAGGUUCAAACUGAGCUACAUAUUUAAAAAGGUAUGGUAAUCAACUAUAUCUGGUAGGCUGAGGAAAGAAAUGGGGAAAAUAUAAGUAUUGCUCUGGUGAUUAGAUGUGUUAAUUUGUUUUGCAAUUGAGCGGACUUCAAUGGAGAAGAUCUUUCACCAAACAUCUAAAUCCAUGAGUAUUAUUUCUUAAAAUAUAUAAGAUCACUGAAAGGCCACUUAGCUAUGCAAGUGCCAACAAAUUUAGUUAACAAUAAUGCAUUAUGUACAACUACAAAGUUUGGAACUAUAUUGUUCUAUGGUCAAAUGAUUCUAUGGAAUACCAAACAGAUUACUCAUGAAUAUUUAGAAAUUUUUAGCUACUAGAACGUAGUACACCAAAUAUGAUGAUCUUGAAUCAUUGAGAAUCUAAUUACUCUGAGAUAAAAAUUAUCAAUGAUCUAAAAUUAUUUCGAUGAUCCAAUCUAGGUCAUCAAAUGCUACUCAAAGAAAUUCAUAGAACUCUGAUAGGGAGACCUAAGAAGGGCCAGGACCGGACCGGUCCGGCAUGGUAAAAGAUUUUCCGGUCUCGCCCCGUCCGUUCUCUCACGACGAGAAAUUAACGGAUCCAACUCAUAGAAACCCUCUAUGUUCAAAACCAUCGUCGGUUGUUUCUGUUCUUUGCCAGCGUUCCACACAAAUUUCUCCCCUCUACUAUUCGAGCUGUCCAUCGUUGCACGACCACAGAAAUAGAAGAGAGAGAGAGAGAGAGAGAGAGAGAGAGAGAGAGCGCCAUCNNNNNNNNNNNNNNNNNNNNGCGCCCAUCGGAAGCCCCUCUGCUCUCUCCUCUCCUCUCCCUUCAGGCUUUCUCCCCGUCGAUCACGAGCUCCCUCAACCCUACUUUCCAUCCGUCGAGCUGGCGAUCUCGGCGAGAAUCCUCAAGAGGAAAUUCUAGAUCUUUGGGGCGGAGAAGCCCCCUCCACGCUGGAAUCGUUGGAAGGGGUGGCGGAGGGGAUCGGGUUUUAGGGUCUGACCGGAUUCGCGCCUGGAAGCGACGCCAGAGAUUUCGAAUCGUAACUCUUUCUUGGUUGGAUUGAAACCAAGGUUGGAAGCUGGAGGGUUUGGGUUUUUUUCUAAGAUCAUCGUUUUGGAACCCUAGAGUUGGGCUCUGGGUGCUUGGCUUUCGUAGAAUUAGGCGAAAUUGGUUGAGAUUUUUUUGUUGAAAGUGGGAAUUGCUAUUUUAUUGGAAUUAUUCCUUUUGUUAUUGUUCGUGGAGAAAAUGAGUAGUAGAAGAGAGGAAGAGAGGAAUGAGAAGAUUAUUAGAGGUCUCAUGAAGCUUCCGCCAAACAGGAAGUGCAUCAACUGCAACAGCUUGGUAUUUCUUUUAUUUUCUCUUCUUUUUGUAUGUUAAAUUCCACAUACUAUUUUUUCCUAAAUUUGUUGUGCAAUUUUGGAUGGCUAAUUUUGUGUUUAUUUAAUAUAUAUUUUUUAUCAAGGUAGACUUCUAAAUCCUCGUUCUUUUCUGGUAUAGGGUCCGCAGUAUGUCUGUACAAAUUUUUGGACCUUCGUCUGUACAACAUGCAGCGGGAUACAGUGAGUAUUUGGUUUACUUUAGUUACGAGAAAUUAGAUUUUUGAUUCUUUUACCAUCUUUUACCCAUCGCCAGAUUCUUUAAUCACCAAUUCAUUCUUUUCUUUAACUAUAUUUUGUUGCAAAACAAUAUGUAUUAAAAAGGUGAGUAAGCGAUGAAGAGUAAAGGAUGUUUCAUGCUUUUUGUUUAUUUUUUCCUUGAUUCUGAAGGAAUAGCUUUUAUCAUUUUGUCGCUGCUUUUAGAUUUGGUUAAGAGACAUCUGAGAAGGUUUUCAUAUUUCCUUUUUAUUUUCCUGACAUGGAUUUUAGACAUCCUCUUCUCAUUCCUUAUGCAAGGUCACCCAAUUCUAUAUGCCCUUUUAUGCUCAGUCAAGUCCUCUGACCCAUUUGCAACGCAGCAAAUUAGGGUUUUGCAAGGGAAAAGCAAUAUCAAGAAUCAUUCAAUGGUUUUCACGUGUGACCCCUGUGUAUACACUUGUUGCAUAAUGAAAUCGACAGUAACUUUGAACUGAACUCGCAUAUUUGAAGCCCUUAGUCAUCUGAUAUGUGUUUUUGUGGUCCGUAUUUUGAUAGUACUGCAACUCCACCGUCACAUGAACUUUCUGACAAUUUCAUCCAAGGUCUGCAUACCAACCUGUACCGUUCUGCAUUGACCGCACCGUAGUGUUUUGGUAAGGUAGUAUGUUACCAAGGCUUGCUUUGGUAUAUGAGCCAAACCAAUUCAUACCAGUUUGAACCGAACAAUACCAUCUUGUAUCAUCUGGUAUUUACUCAUACCACCCGAUUUUUGGCGGUAUUAUGAUUGGGAACGAGAAAAAAGUGUUGGGAGCAUAUUUUUGGUUUGGGUGCAUAUUGUACCUUACAUCUGUACCAUAUGGAACUUAUAAUGUACUGGUACAAUUCUUGGUACCAGUUUUGUAGACUUUGAUUUCAACUCUUGGUUUUGAUGUAAAUUGCUUUCUAUAACAUACAGCCGCGAGUUUACUCAUCGGGUGAAGUCAGUAUCAAUGGCUAAGUUUACCAAAGAAGAAGUUGAUGCUCUUCAAAGGGGUGGCAAUCAGGUAACUGCCAGCCUAUGUCCUUUCCGUCUAGGAUGAGUUGUCAGUUCUACUCUCAUGUGAUAUUACUUGUUGUAGCGUGCGAGAGAAAUCUUUUUGAAGGACUGGGACAUGCAGCAGAUGAGAUUGCCUUAUAGCAGGUAAAAAAUGAAAUUAUUAUAUUACUUGAACUAGUUAAACUUGAAAAUUAUGUUUCGUAUAUAACAGAUGAUGCGGGUUAGUAAUUUGGCUUUUAUGUUUUAUCAUUCCAGUAAUGCUGAUAGAAUUAGGGAAUUCAUAAGAAAUGUUUAUGUGAACAAGAAAUAUGCUGGGGGGCGAACCUCUGACAAGCUGUCUAGUAAUACAGAGGUAAUGUUUCUGAUCGAACCUGUACUUCAGGCUUGAAAUUUUAUUCUUUGUACAUCCUAUAUUUUGAACUUUGCUUCUGUUUUCUUUCACAGUACUGUAUGCUGUUCAUGCACCCAGAUUUUUGUUCCAAUUCUAACACUAAGGUGUUCAUGCUUUGGACAGAGCCUCAAGAAUCAUGAAGAAAAUCAGAGGAGGGCUAGUUCUUAUCAUUCUUAUUCUCAGAGCCCACCUUAUGAUUAUCAGUAUGAGGAUAGGCAUUAUGGAAAACAAUUUAGCAUGCUUGCUAGAAGGCCAGGUUCGGAUCGAGGGCAUUAUGAAGGGAAAAUUAAUCGCUUCAUUUAUAGUCCAAGUCGCUUACGCGAGCAGAUGUAUGAUGACAGAUUUGCUAAUGAAAGUUCUGGUUCGAGAUCAUCGGACUUCUCGGUAUCCAGCACAGGUGAUCCAUUCAGAUAUGAUGGCCAGUCACCAAAUUCUCAGGACGCUGAAUAUUGCAGCCCUCGUUUACACCAAGUAAGGAAAAUCUUAGUUGAAGAAGCACAGCCCCAGAUAUUAAAUAGGCAAUCAGAAGCAAAUGUUCAGGGGAACUUAGAUGGGAUCGCACGCCCACAGGUUAUUGAUCUUUCUCUGUAUUCACUACUCAUGUUUAUGUCCUGUCCUAUCAUUUUUCAUGUCAUGGAUAAAGUAGCUUUGGUUAUAAAUGAGAAAUCAUUUCUUUGUUCAGAGAACUGCAUCUACAGGCAGCUUUGGAUACUCUAAGAGCUUCUCCUUGUCUCAUAGAUCAGUUGAUUCAGGUGGUUUAUCAGAUGAUGUUGUUGAGCGUGUCCGUUCUACUGAAACUCAUCAGGCAGUGCAAUCUGCAUUCACUUCUUCAACACAAACGUCUACUUCUUUGCAUGCUACAAAGCAGGAUCCCUUCAACUUAACAUUUGUUGGAUCACCAAUGACUUCUUCAACUUCAUCUAUAGAUUUGUUUGCUGAUUUCAGUAAUCAACAUUCAUCUGUAACUCCUCUUGAUCAGAAACCAUCCACAGCUCCCUUCUCAGAAAAUGAAGGAUGGGCUACAUUUGACCUACCUCACCAUGCUGGAGUUGCUUCUGAAACAUAUGCGAUGGUCCCUGCUUUAGUUUUUCCUGGUGUUGGAGCAUCCAAGGGGACUGAAAAUGCAUCAACAUUAAUGCAAAACAAUUCACAGUGCUUUUCAGUUCAGAGUUCUGUAGCUCCUGCACCAUUUACACCAACAGAUGGUCAGUGGCAUGCAGGUAUACAUGAAGAUAAAAGCUCUGCAGAUCAGAAAAGCUCCCAGGUGAAGAACUAUUGACAUAACUGCUUGCACUAGUGAUGAUAGAUCUAUUGUUCUUUCAGAAGGCUUCCUUGGGGUAAAUGUUGGGCAAGCAUUGCACCGUUGCCUCAUGUAUAGUAAUAGAGCCUAAGACCUCUGUGAUAUUCUAACAAUUUAUUGUUGUUGUGGUUUGUUGCAGUUGUGGAAUGCUUUUGAUGAUUCUACUGGGAACAUGUCUUGUACUUUGUUUGGGAGUCUACCACAGAAUAAUAAUUCACAGGUUACAGUGUCCACGUCUAAAUUGGGUGAUCCACAUAUUGGAUUGAAACUCCCAGAGGUGCUACCAUGUCUGUUGCUUUUUGUUCAGGUUAUAUAAAAUCUCUGCAUUCUAUUCUUAUAAUUUUGAUUCGAUUGCAGAACACUAUUAACGAUGGGCUUCAGAAGCCAGCUCUGGAUGGUACAGCUACCCAUUUUAAUCUGCCAUCUAGGGAUGUCAAUGGAUCACCAUUUUCUCUGCCAGUUCGGCCUUUGAUGGUUUGUAUAUUUUCAAGCUUUCAUCAUGCUAAUUUGGUUUUUAGUUGUGUGCCCGAGUGGUUGGUAAUGCUAUGUAGAUGGUGUAAAUAUUCACCUACCUUAUAUUAGUGCAAUUAUGCCUGCCCUUGUCUUCAUUCUUCAUGCCCUACUUUACAUGGUAAUUGUUUUCUUUUUAGAAAAAUAAUGAAGUUGGAGAUUUUGUUGCCCUUGAUAAAGCUAAAUGAUCCAACUUCACAGUGUAUAGUGGCAACAAAACAAAUGGGUGAGGGUAAGAGGCCUAGGUGCUUAGUUGAUCAUCAUGGAUUGUACUUGCUUUCUCAUAAAUAAGUUCAUGGAGUUCAAUAGUAUAAUUACCUGUUGCAUGUUUGGUGUUUGGAAAUUUAAACAACAAUUGAAGGUUUUUUCAGUAUAGCCAGUGUUGAGCACAAGAUGCAUGUGAAACAAAAGAAGCAUCUAUAAAUCAUUGGUUGCUUGCAGCCAGAUACUGCAAUGACAACACUGAUAAUGAUUAUUCAUAUAAUUGUUUUUUCUAAUGGGGCCCAUGGUACUUGCAUUAUGGUUGGUAAAUUUAGGUACUCUCUGAACAUGAUAACUUGCAUUUAAGGCAUUGAUAAUGUAUUCAGUGUGGAUAACACCUAAUGCAAACAAUCUUCAGUACUAUAUGGCAUGGAAACCCACCUAGAAAAAAAAUAAUUAGAUGGAUGAUACUGAUCAUAUGUUUACGAAUAUGUAUUUGUAUAUACAUAUGUAAAAACAUAGAUACAUGUAUACAAUAUACAAACAUAAACAUACAUACAUACACACACACUUAUAUAUAUUACAUAUUUUAUGUGUAUUCAUACAAGCACUACACAUAUAUUACAUCUCUAUCUACAUGUAUAUGUGUGUAUAUAUGCAUAUGUAUAUACACACAUGUAUGGACAUACAUAUGUUUUCCUGCUUUCAUGCGCAUACUUAAGAAUAGGAAAAUUCUCAUGUUUUUCUCCCUUGCUUGUAACACAUGAAGGACAUGGGUGAAAGUAUUGCAGUUGUCUUAAGUUGAAAAUCCAAUAUCAAAUUCUGGAUACACUCACACACUUAUAGUGACAGGCACAUGCAUAUCUAGUAUAGGAGGCAAACGCCCAUACAUGUUGCUCUGUCUUAUAAGUUGUUUAUUUGUGUUUUGCAGGAAGGGUCUACUCAGGCAAAAAAAUCAAUAAAUCCUUUCGAUCUUCCAUAUGACUCAAAUUUGGAAGCCAACAAUUCGGUAUGUUGAACUUUUGUGAAUUCUAUAUGUAGAUAAUAAUGGUAAAGAUAUGGAAUUCUUUGUAACUUUCUUCUUCUAUCUCUUAGUAUGUAGUUAAGAGUAUAGUAUCAUCUUAAAGAGAUGAUUAAAAGAAAAUAAGGCAUCCCAGUGCACGAAGCUUCGCCACUGGAGGGUCAGAUAUAUGGGGCUUUUCCUCUGUAUGUGGAGAGACUGUUUCUAUUUUAUGAACCUGUGACACACAGGUCAUGAUGGAGCAAUCUUACCAUUGCUCCAAGGUCCGAUUCAGAGAGAUGAUUAGAAGAAGGAUCACAAAAAUAUAGUAGUAAGUCCUAGUCAACCUAAGGGUGAUUGCCGAGAAACACAACCCUUAACAGCAAUACUACCCUUAGCAGGAUCAUCUACAAUAUCAUUAGCUUGCAUAAAACAAGGGAAGGAAAUGAUUAGAUUCAAGGCUUCCAUAAUGAAUUGUGCUUUAACUGUAAUCUAUGCAUUUGAACCAACUUUAUGGUCAAAGUUCACUUUCAACAUUCUUUUAUCACUCUGUUAUUUUUCCACAUCAAUCAAGUUAUUCCAUUUUCUCUGGAUUUGUUUUUAAUUUUCAAGCAUGGGAGGUUUUAAGUCUUCUAUACUUCACACAUGGUUUGUCAACUUUAUGGUUGGGCUCUAGACAUGGUCAUGUCAAAC
This 23892-nucleotide long non-coding RNA is filed under the name Phoenix dactylifera (date palm). RNAcentral's name for it is "long non-coding RNA (PDAC_LNC005007)". The record is from RNAcentral. Lineage: Eukaryota; Viridiplantae; Streptophyta; Magnoliopsida; Arecales; Arecaceae.